UGGGGAAUAUUUUGCAAUGAGCGCAAGCUUGACAAAGCGUCGUCACGUGAAGGAAGACAGUUUUUUAAAAUUGUAAACUUCUUUAACUUAAAUAUGAAUAUUGACACUUAAGAAUAAAAAGUAUCGGCAAACUCCGUGCCAGCAGCCGCGGUAAUACGGGGGAUACAAGCGUUAUUCGGAAUAACUGGGCGUAAAGUGUAUGUAGAUUGUUAUAUAUAUAUUUGUAUGUUUAUACAAAAACUAUUAAAAUAUAAAUAUAUUAUAUAACUAGAGUUUAUUAUGGGUAAAAGGAAUUUUUUGAGGAGUGGUGAAAUGCGAUGAUACAAAAAAGAAGACCAAAAGCGAAGGCAUUUUACUGGGAUAUAACUGACAUUGAGAUACGAAAGUUAAGGUAGCGAAUG
This 401-nucleotide ribosomal RNA is filed under the name uncultured bacterium. RNAcentral describes it as "partial 16S ribosomal RNA". It matches the Rfam family "Bacterial small subunit ribosomal RNA", at positions 355 to 774 of the family's 1533-position model. The record is from RNAcentral.